RNAcentral lists this transfer RNA (86 nucleotides) under Campylobacter vicugnae. RNAcentral's name for it is "Campylobacter sp. RM12175 tRNA-Leu". It matches the Rfam family "tRNA". From Rfam's summary of the family: Transfer RNA (tRNA) molecules are approximately 80 nucleotides in length. Their secondary structure includes four short double-helical elements and three loops (D, anti-codon, and T loops). Lineage: Bacteria; Pseudomonadati; Campylobacterota; Epsilonproteobacteria; Campylobacterales; Campylobacteraceae. RNAcentral also lists the same sequence under 2 other names. The record is from RNAcentral.
GCGAUCAUGGUGGAAUUGGUAGACACGCUAUCUUGAGGGGGUAGUGCCGUUAUGGUGUGCGAGUUCAAGUCUCGCUGAUCGCACCA